This 655-nucleotide ribosomal RNA is filed under the name uncultured forest soil bacterium. RNAcentral's name for it is "bacterial SSU rRNA". It matches the Rfam family "Bacterial small subunit ribosomal RNA", at positions 64 to 767 of the family's 1533-position model. The record is from RNAcentral.
GAGCGCCCCGCAAGGGGAGCGGCAGACGGGAGAGUAACACGUGGGAACGUGCCCUUUGGUUCGGAACAACACAGGGAAACUUGGGCUAAUACCGGAUACGUCCGUAAGGAGAAAGAUUUAUCGCCAAAGGAUCGGCCCGCGUCUGAUUAGCUUGUUGGUGAGGUAACGGCUCACCAAGGCUACGAUCAGUAGCUGGUCUGAGAGGAUGAUCAGCCUCACUGGGACUGAGACACGGCCCAGACUCCUACGGGAGGCAGCAGUGGGGAAUAUUGGACAAUGGGCGCAAGCCCGAUCCAGCCAUGCCGCGUGGAUGAUGAAGGCCCUAGGGUUGUAAAAUCCUUUCGACGGGGAAGAUAAUGACGGUACCCGUAGAAGAAGCCCCGGCUAACUUCGUGCCAGCAGCCGCGGUAAUACGAAGGGGGCUAGCGUUGCUCGGAAUCACUGGGCGUAAAGCGCACGUUGGCGGCUUUUUAAGUCAGAGGUGAAAUCCUGGAGCUCAACUCCAGAACUGCCUUUGAUACUGGAGAGCUUGAGUCCGGGAGAGGUGAGUGGAACUGCGAGUGUAGAGGUGAAAUUCGUAGAUAUUCGCAAGAACACCAGUGGCGAAGGCGGCUCACUGGCCCGGUACUGACGCUGAGGUGCGAAAGCGUGGGGA